GGGGCUUGCAGGGGUGCCUGGGUCGGGGGCUGCAGGUGGGAGUGAGCAAAUGUGCUGUCUCGCCACCUCGGGACAGGUGGUAGGGCCUCUGACACAGAGUGGUCCUUCCUGCUGUUCACAGCUCAGCUCACCGUGGGCUGACCAUAGAUUCUCGUUGAAAUCCUAACGCCCCAGGCAAUGAUGUUAGGAGGCGGGGCUUCUGGGAGAUGGCAAGUUCGUGAGGCUGCAGCUCUGCUGGGGGAUCAGUGUCCUUCUACAAGCGGCUCCAGGGAGGUCCCUUGCCCCUUCCACCAUGUGAGGACCCGAGAUGGUGCCGUCUAUGAACCGGGAAGUGAGUCCUCUCCGGACGUGGAACAAGUUGGUGCCUUGAUUUUGAACUUGCAGCCUCCAGCUUCAUGGGGUUUAAGUACGAUGAUGCUGCAUUGAGACGUUGUACUGUGUGAAGUCAGGGCCUUCUGUGCAUCGGUCGAGGGUGCAAUGCACACGGCACCCCCGAGCAGCCACCCAUCCUCCCUUCCCUCCACCCUGCGAGGCCCCGUUGUCCGUCUGUCCACACUCUGCUCCAUGAGCACACGUGACUUAGCUUCGCCUUGUGAGCCGCUGCUUGGGGUGAGCAUGCUUCCUGCUGGAUGCUUCUCUAUGUAAGCACCUGCCUGAGUGUCAGCCCUCUUAAGGUG
RNAcentral lists this long non-coding RNA (677 nucleotides) under Homo sapiens (human). Its description in RNAcentral is "non-protein coding lnc-RPS21-2:5". Lineage: Eukaryota; Metazoa; Chordata; Mammalia; Primates; Hominidae. The record is from RNAcentral.